GUCCACAGCCCCUCGUGCCCCCGCCCGUGAUGCGCGCCGUCUCCUCCCCCGCGCGACCCCUCCCGUGAUGGCCGCCGCCGCCUACCCCGCGCGACACCAGCCGCCACCUACCCCGCGCGACAACGCCCGUGAUGCCCGCCGCCGCCUACCCCGCGCGACACCACCAAUGGUGCCCUUCCUUCCCCGGCACCCGCAACCCGCCAGCUCCGCGCGAGCCGCCGGCGGGAUACCCGCCUCCCCCGCGCCCCCGCCAGCUCCGCGCGAGGCGCCAGCUCCGCGCGUCCGCCGCAGUGAUGCCGCGCGAUGAAGGCCGCACGGGAGAGACGCUGGGAAAGCCGCUCCUUCCGGCGUUGCAGUGGGGGCGUCCACAGCUGUGCCAUGCCCCCGCCCCGUCCGAGACGCCGACCACGACCCAGGAUUCUCGCUUCCCGUCCACGUCCGUGAUUUUCCCAGCGAAGCUGACCACGCCUCCCUGUACGCACCUCCCGACAUCCUCGCCGACAUGCUCGCACUCCUGUCCCCGUCUGAGAUCCUCGCGUCGGCGCCUUCGGUGGAAGUCCGGAAUCGCCCGGCUCUCCUCCACCGCGCCGCCAGCCUCACUGAGAAGAGUUCAUCUGCCUCCUCCUCAACGCUUGACCCCACCGCCGCUGGAUCCAACACCCUGCCCUCGUCCUUCUUCUCCGACCUACUCACCAGUGACGACGUGGGCACCCUGGCCAGACGCACGCCAUGGACAGCAGGUGGGCAGGAACACCUUCUACGUGGAUCCUCUUCUCCCGUGCUCCUCGACGCACGAGAGCGAGCUCGGACUGGAUCCUCUCCUACCGCUCCAUGCAGGGAGAGUUCUAUAAUUAUUCUGGUUUGUAGUCCGUGAAUUUAUAGUGGAUUGCUUGAGAUACUGGGUAACAGGAAUGCAUGUUUAUGAUUUUCGUUUUGACCUUGCAUUGCAUCUACAAUGACCAGAGGAUGCAGUCUAUGGAUCCAGUUAAUGUGUAUGGAAAUCCAAUGGAAGGUGACAUGAUUACAACAGGGACACCUCUUGUUGUCCCACCACUUAUUGACAUGAUUAGCAAUGACCCAAUUUUUGCCCAUUGCUGAAGAUGGGAUGCAGGAGGCCUCUAUCAAGUAGGUCAAUUACCUCAUUAACAGGGACACCUCUUGUUGCCCCACCACUUAUUGAUAUGAUUAGCAAUGACCCAAUUUUUUGCUCAUUGCUGAAGCAUGGGAUGCAGGAGGCCUCUAUCAAGUAGGUCAAUUUCCUCACUAGAAUGUUUGGUUAGAGUGGAAUGUAAAGGUCUGGACACUCUAUGAAUUCGAUGAUCUCGAGAGCAUCAUUGAUAGGACACUAAAGCGCGAUUUUGACACCGAGGAAGCACUCUGGUUGCUUAAGAUAGGUCUUGUGUGCAUCCCGGAUAGCCCUAAGAUCAAGCCCUCCAUGUCAAUGGUUGCCAAGAUGCUGCAAGGUGAGUGUGCUGUGAGUGACAGGAUCAUGAGGCCUGGCCUGAUCACAGACGUCAUGGACCUGAAAGUCAGGAUGGUAGAGCCGAUUUAGUUCAGCUUGACAUCAUGCUCGAGCACUGCCGCACCGGACCUUGUUGGGGAUUUCCUCGAUUAAAAUAUAAGCUCCUUGAUAUGGUUCUGUAACAUAGUUCUGCAAUGCUCCUUUAUUUAGUUCUUUACUUUUUUUGUUAAGAUAUGAGGUGUAGCGAUACAAUAUGUCUACUAACAGCGUUUGUGUUCUUGAUAGUUCAUUUAGGAUUGAAUGAAGUUACUGGUAUGACCUUGUCGAGACUGAAGUAAGGAGGGAUAGAGCUAAAAACUCUCUUGGCACAACUAUAAAGUUCAAGCUAUAUGGGCGUGUUUGGAUGGCAGCCUCCCAUGCAACUGCCUGGCAGGCAAAUGAUCCUAGCCACACCACAGGCAUAGGAAAUCGAACGGUCGGCAUUGUUUCCUGGGCCAGCUGAUAAAAUCCAUUGAAGUGCAAGAGGCCGAUAAACUUAGGCGUAUAGUGCUGGAUGCUCCAUCCACUGGACAUACACUUAAGCUUCUGUCAGUUUCUGAUUGGAUUGAAAUGUUCCUUACUUUGAGCAUUAAGGACACAUGAGGUGUAGCUAUUGGGCCUCUAACUUGGUUAUCAUGGUUUUGGGCCGUGGGUAGAGCAGGCAAUGCAAGUGCAGUCUGGCACAAUCCUGGUGGUUUGGCAUUGAGUUAUGUUUUCUUUUACUUGAUAAAACAAUCUUGUUCCAUCACUUAGUCAAUAGCUCAAUAUGUCCACCAGUUCUGAUGAUCCAUGUCUGCGCAGUGUUUCUUUUCACAGUUUGCGCUUGCGAACAUCCGAACCCCGUUUUCAUCUUGAAUUCAACUUAUGAUGUAUAUCGGACAGUUCCACCACAUUCUGGCGCCGCCUUCGUCUGAUCCUGGAGGCAAUUGGAGCCGCUGCAAGUCGGAUCCUGGUGGAUGCAGCGCAACACAGAUCGCAACCCUCCAAGGACUGAGAAGUGGAAUGUUGACAUCUCUGAGACAGUCUGAAAGCAAACCGAAGGCAGGGGUGUUCAUCAACUCCUGCUUCGCGCAUUGCUAGAGUGAGCUACAGGACACAUGGUUCGCACCAAAUUCUCCAUCCAUAUAUAACAAGAAAAUUGCAGAGGUGGUAGGUGAUUGGUACUUUGAAAGAGGAGCUGACGUGGAGAUUGACUGCGCCUAUCCCUGUGAUUCACAGUCUUGUCGCAACCUUAUACCAAUUGAUAAGGCUGACCAUCCUAGAUUAAACUUCAAAGACCGGUACCCUGAGCCAUACAGAGAUUCUCAUCCGACUGCCCCCGUUGCUGUGCAUGGAUGUCAGGUGUCAUUACUGUAAUGUAGUGGUGAAAUAGGUAGAUUAAAACAAUGAAAUUUAUAUGUGGCUAGGAUCAUAAAUGAAUUGCAAAAUUUUUUCUCAGAACAGUAUAACACAUAUUUGUACAUAAGUUGUUGUGUUAUUAUAUGUUUCCGUUGCAACGCA
Zea mays is the source of this 3001-nucleotide RNA transcript. It is a transcript of the gene named pectin acetylesterase pseudogene, with no coding region annotated. The record is from RefSeq and is marked validated. NCBI's taxonomy places the organism in Eukaryota, Viridiplantae, Streptophyta, Magnoliopsida, Poales, Poaceae. The transcript is spliced from 15 exons.